Molecule: ribosomal RNA, 522 nt
Filed under: uncultured bacterium
Lineage: Bacteria
Description: bacterial SSU rRNA
Rfam family: Bacterial small subunit ribosomal RNA
Source: RNAcentral
UAGAGUUUGAUCAUGGCUCAGAUUGAACGCUGGCGGCAGGCCUAACACAUGCAAGUCGAGCGGUAGAGAGAAGCUUGCUUCUCUUGAGAGCGGCGGACGGGUGAGUAAUGCCUAGGAAUCUGCCUGGUAGUGGGGGAUAACGUUCGGAAACGAACGCUAAUACCGCAUACGUCCUACGGGAGAAAGCAGGGGACCUUCGGGCCUUGCGCUAUCAGAUGAGCCUAGGUCGGAUUAGCUAGUUGGUGAGGUAAUGGCUCACCAAGGCGACGAUCCGUAACUGGUCUGAGAGGAUGAUCAGUCACACUGGAACUGAGACACGGUCCAGACUCCUACGGGAGGCAGCAGUGGGGAAUAUUGCACAAUGGGCGCAAGCCAGAUGCAGCCAUGCCGCGUGUAUGAAGAAGGUCUUCGGGUUGUAAAGUACUUUCAGCGGGGAGGAAGGCGAUAAGCCUAAUAACCUUGUCGAUUGACGUUACCCGCAGAAGAAGCACCGGCUAACUCCGUGCCAGCAGCCGCGGUAAU